RNAcentral lists this ribosomal RNA (506 nucleotides) under uncultured bacterium. RNAcentral describes it as "bacterial SSU rRNA". It matches the Rfam family "Bacterial small subunit ribosomal RNA", at positions 107 to 598 of the family's 1533-position model. The record is from RNAcentral.
UGAGUAUCACGUGGGUAACCUGCCUGUAAGCUUGGGAUAACUCCGGGAAACCGGUGCUAAUACCAAAUAAUAUUUCUGUUCGCAUGAACGGAAAAUAAAAGGCGGCUUUUGCUGUCACUUACAGAUGGACCCGCGUCGCAUUAGCUAGUUGGUGGGGUAAAGGCUCACCAAAGCAACGAUGCGUAGCCGACCUGAGAGGGUGAUCGGCCACACUGGGACUGAGACACGGCCCAGACUCCUACGGGAGGCAGCAGUAGGGAAUCUUCCGCAAUGGACGAAAGUCUGACGGAGCAACGCCGCGUGAGUGAUGAAGGUUUUCGGAUCGUAAAACUCUGUUGUUAGGGAAGAAUAAGUACUAACCGAAUAAGUUGGUACCCUGAUGGUACCUAACCAGAAAGCCCCGGCUAACUACGUGCCAGCAGUCGCGGUAAUACGUAGGGGGCAAGCGUUGUCCGGAAUUAUUGGGCGUAAAGGGCGCGCAGGCGGUUUCUUAAGUCUGAUGUGAA